GGGUAAAUAGUUUAUGGAGAAUAUGGGUUUUGUAAACCUAGGGGGCUGUUAAUUUGGCUUUACCCU
Molecule: transfer RNA, 66 nt
Filed under: Sinonovacula constricta (Chinese razor clam)
Lineage: Eukaryota; Metazoa; Mollusca; Bivalvia; Cardiida; Solecurtidae
Description: tRNA-Thr
Source: RNAcentral